CAAUGCAUUUCUAAUUAUUUUUUCGCAAGUAUGGCAAACUUUUAAUACAUUAUUAGAUAUGUUAAUUUGCCUUUAUCUUUAUAAGCAAUCAAACUGUCACUAUAUAUCCUUUGAUUCGAUUUUAAUGCGUCUAUACAAUAGUUACAUAAAAUAGUACUUUGUAAUUGCAUGACAACAUAUCCAGCGAUAUAUACAGUCAUGUCUCUUGAAAAUUCAGAUAAAUAUUUAACAUCUGGUAUAUAAUCAUGAUCGUAAACGUCAUCCUCAAUAACUAUAUCAUCUUUAAGACGUUGUAAUCCAGAAGACCAUCGAAUAAUAUUUUCUGAAUUAACAUUCGAAUGAAAAGAUAAAAUGUCAACUUCAGAAUUGCGUUCAGAGAAACGAUCUGUGAUUCCUUUCGCCAAACCUUUUGUUGCAAAUAUUUAAUUUUUUCUCUGGUACAGAUUUUUUGUACUUUCUAGCUGUUUUCGCAGACGUUUCUUUUCCGGAGAAUUAAAUAUCUUAUUUGGUGAAACGCUUGUCGAAUUAUCCACAACUACAACAGUUUUAAUAUCAUGUUUACUGUGUCCAGGAAUAGGAGAUGUACCUCUAUGUGUUGUCGUAAUCAUAUUACAUACAGAACUUGAUGCAAUAUUUGUAUUAUGUGAAAUAUCUGCAUUAGGAACUGCAUCAGGAACUAUAUUAAUUACAUCAGCAACCACAUGUACUAUAUACAUAAGUAAACAAAAGAUAUAUUUAUAAG
This is a long non-coding RNA of Harpegnathos saltator (Jerdon's jumping ant), 742 nucleotides long. RefSeq lists it as uncharacterized. The transcript has 3 exons. Lineage: Eukaryota; Metazoa; Arthropoda; Insecta; Hymenoptera; Formicidae. The record is from RefSeq and is a predicted model, not a curated record.